AGCCACCUUCGGGUGGUGGACAGUGGCAGACGGGUGAGUAACGCGUGGGAACGUGCCUUUCGGUUCGGGAUAACCCAGGGAAACUUGGGCUAAUACCGGAUACGCCCUCCGGGGGAAAGAUUCAUUGCCGAAAGAUCGGCCCGCGUCGGAUUAGCUAGUUGGUGGGGUAAAAGCCUACCAAGGCGACGAUCCGUAGCUGGUCUGAGAGGAUGACCAGCCACACUGGGACUGAGACACGGCCCAGACUCCUACGGGAGGCAGCAGUGGGGAAUAUUGGACAAUGGGCGCAAGCCUGAUCCAGCCAUGCCGCGUGGGUGAAGAAGGCCCUAGGG
RNAcentral lists this ribosomal RNA (332 nucleotides) under uncultured bacterium. RNAcentral's name for it is "bacterial SSU rRNA". It matches the Rfam family "Bacterial small subunit ribosomal RNA", at positions 72 to 422 of the family's 1533-position model. The record is from RNAcentral.